GCUCAGUAAGUCGUAACAAGGUAACCAGUAGAGUUUGAUCCUGAGUCCUGGGAUAACCACGAGAAAUCCAAUCUAAUACCGGAUGUGUCAUCGGACCGCAUGGUCCGCUGAUGAAAGGCGCUCCGGCGUCGCCCAUGGAUGGCUUUGCGGUGCAUUAGCUAGUUGGUGGGGUAACGGCCCACCAAGGCGACGAUGCAUAGCCGACCUGAGAGGGUGAUCGGCCACACUGGGACUGAGACACGGCCCAGACUCCUACGGGAGGCAGCAGUAGGGAAUCUUCCACAAUGGACGAAAGUCUGAUGGAGCAACGCCGCGUGAACGAUGAAGGCUUUCGGGUCGUAAAGUUCUGUUGUAAGGGAAGAACAAGUGCCGCAGGCAAUGGCCGGCCCCUGGACGGUACCUUGCGAGAAAGCCACGGCUAAACUACGUGCCAGCAGCCGCGGUAAUACGUAGGUGGCAAGCGUUGUCCGGAAUUAUUGGGGCGUAAAAGCGCGGCGCAGGGCGGCCCUCUUAAAGUCUGAAGGGGAAAAGCCCCCGGCCUCACCGGGGGGGAGGGCCAUUUGGAAAACUGGGGAGGUCUUGGGUUAUAGAAAGAAAAAGAGGGGAAAUUCCCACGGUUUGGCGGGUGAAAAUGGCGU
Molecule: ribosomal RNA, 638 nt
Filed under: Exiguobacterium sp.
Lineage: Bacteria; Bacillati; Bacillota; Bacilli; Caryophanales
Description: bacterial SSU rRNA
Rfam family: Bacterial small subunit ribosomal RNA
Source: RNAcentral